UUCCGGUUGAUCCUGCCGGAGGCUACCGCUAUUGGAGUUCGAUUAAGCCAUGCGAGUCGCGAGUCUUAGGGACUCGGCGUACCGCUCAGUAACACGUGGGUAACCUGCCCUAUGCUGGGGGAUAACCUCGGGAAACUGAGAAUAAUACCCCAUAGUUCACCACGCCUGGAACGGUGGGUGGAUCAAAGCUCCGGCGGCAUAGGAUGGGCCUGCGGCGUAUCAGGUUGUAGGGGGUGUAAUGUACCCUCUAGCCCUCUACGCGUACGGGUGUUGAGAGACAUCGCCCGGAGAUGGAUUCUGAGACACGAAUCCAGACCCCACGGGGUGCAGCAGGCGCGAAAACUUGGCAAUGCGAGAAAUCGUGACCAGGGAACUCCAAGUGCAUCGGGUAAGACCGAUGCUUUUCUUGACUCUUCAAAGGUCUUGGAAUAAGGGGUGGGUAAGGACGGUGCCAGCCGCCGCGGUAAUACCGGCGCCCCAAGUGGUAGUCGCUUUUAUUGGGCCUAAAACGUCCGUAGCCGGUCUGGUACAUUCGUGGGUAAAUCAACCAGCUCAACUGGUUGAAUUCUGCGAGCACGGCCAGACUUGGGACCGGGAGAGGUGUGGGGUACUCUCAGGGUAGGGGUAAAAUCCUGUCAUCCUGAGAGGACCACCUGUUGCGAAGGCGCCACACUAGAACGGAUCCGACGGUCAGGGACGAAGCCUAGGGGCACGAACCGGAUUAGAUACCCGGGUAGUCCUAGGUGUAAACGCUGUGGACUUGGUGUUGGGGAUUCUCCGAGGAUUCUCAGUGCCGAAGCGAAGGUGAUAAGUCCACUGCCUGGGGAGUACGGUCGCAAGGCUGAAACUUAAAGGAAUUGGCGGGGGAGCACUGCAACGAGAGGAGCGUGCGGUUUAAUUGGAUUCAACGCCGG
This 914-nucleotide ribosomal RNA is filed under the name uncultured marine archaeon. Its description in RNAcentral is "bacterial SSU rRNA". It matches the Rfam family "Archaeal small subunit ribosomal RNA", at positions 1 to 921 of the family's 1478-position model. The record is from RNAcentral.